This 290-nucleotide ribosomal RNA is filed under the name uncultured eubacterium Wineub117. RNAcentral describes it as "partial 16S small subunit ribosomal RNA". It matches the Rfam family "Bacterial small subunit ribosomal RNA", at positions 48 to 334 of the family's 1533-position model. The record is from RNAcentral.
CUAACACAUMCAAGWCGAACGGCAGCGGGGGAAAKYUUGCUUUCCUSCCGGCGAGUGGCGAACGGGUGAGUAAUACAUCGGAACGUGCCCCGUAGUGGGGGAUAACUAGUCGAAAGAUUAGCUAAUACCGCAUACGACCUGAGGGUGAAAGUGGGGGGCCGCAAGGCCUCAUGCUAUAGGAGCGGCCGAUGUCUGAUUAGCUAGUUGGUGGGGUAAAGGCCUACCAAGGCGACGAUCAGUAGCUGGUCUGAGAGGACGAUCAGCCACACUGGGACUGAGACACGGCCCAG